GAUGAACGCUGGCGGCGUGCCUAAUACAUGCAAGUCGAGCGAACAGACGAUGAUCUUGCUCCUCUGACGUUAGCGGCGGACGGGUGUGUAACACGUGGAUAACCUCCUUAUCAUUCUGGGAUAAUUUCGGGAAUCCGGAGCUAAUCCCGGAUAAUAUAUUGAACCGCAUGGUUCAAUAGUUAAAUACGGUUUUUCUGUCUCUUAUAGAUGGUUCCGCGCCGCAUUGGCUAGUUGGUAAGGUACAGGCUUAUCAAGGCGACGAUGCGUAGCCGAACUGAGAGGGUGAUCGGCCACACUGGAACGGAGACACGGUCCAGACGCCUACGGGAGGCAGCAGUAGGGAAUCUUCCGCAAUGGGCGAAAGCCUGACGGAGCAAGGCCGCGGGAGGGAUGAAGGUCUUCGGAUCGUAAAACUCUGUUAUUAGGGAAGAACAAAUGUGUAAGUAACUAUGCACGUCAUGACGGUACCUAAUCAGAAAGCCACGGCUAACUACGUG
This 497-nucleotide ribosomal RNA is filed under the name uncultured bacterium. Its description in RNAcentral is "partial 16S ribosomal RNA". It matches the Rfam family "Bacterial small subunit ribosomal RNA", at positions 28 to 507 of the family's 1533-position model. The record is from RNAcentral.